This 304-nucleotide ribosomal RNA is filed under the name uncultured bacterium. Its description in RNAcentral is "partial 16S ribosomal RNA". It matches the Rfam family "Bacterial small subunit ribosomal RNA", at positions 509 to 807 of the family's 1533-position model. The record is from RNAcentral.
CAGCAGCCGCCACGGUAAUACGUAGGGUGCAAGCGUUAAUCGGAAUUACUGGGCGUAAAGCGUGCGCAGGCGGUUGUGUAAGACAGGUGUGAAAUCCCCGGGCUUAACCUGGGAAUUGCAUUUGUGACUGCACGACUAGAGUGUGUCAGAGGGGGGUGGAAUUCCACGUGUAGCAGUGAAAUGCGUAGAUAUGUGGAGGAACACCAAUGGCGAAGGCAGCCCCCUGGGAUAACACUGACGCUCAUGCACGAAAGCGUGGGGAGCAAACAGGAUUAGAGACCCCUGUAGUCCCUGUCUCUUAUAC